This 247-nucleotide ribosomal RNA is filed under the name uncultured Anaerolineaceae bacterium. RNAcentral's name for it is "partial 16S ribosomal RNA". It matches the Rfam family "Bacterial small subunit ribosomal RNA", at positions 1136 to 1382 of the family's 1533-position model. The record is from RNAcentral. Lineage: Bacteria; Bacillati; Chloroflexota; Anaerolineae; Anaerolineales; Anaerolineaceae.
CACUCUAGCGGGACUGCCGGCGUCAAGCCGGAGGAAGGUGGGGAUGACGUCAAGUCAUCAUGGCCCUUAUGUCCAGGGCUACACACGUGCUACAAUGGUCUGUACAAUGGGUAGCCAAGCCGCGAGGCGGAGCCAAUCCUGAAAGCAGGCCUCAGUUCAGAUUGCAGUCUGCAACUCGACUGCAUGAAGCCGGAGUUGCUAGUAACCGCAGGUCAGCAAUACUGCGGUGAAUACGUUCCCGGGUCUU